CUCAAAUUCCCUUUUCUCUCAAAUGCUCUCUAAACCCUAGCCGCCUACUUUCGUCUCUGAUAAAAAAUCCACUGGCGUCCAUGGCUUCUCAGGCCAUGAACAUCCUAUAUUCUCUCCCCUUUCACUCCAAGCCAUGAUUAUUCGAGUUUUUAAGGCUCAACCUUCAACAGACCUGUUCAGGUCCUCCGCCGACCUGAGCUCCUUUGGCUUCUCCGGCUCCGUUCCGGUGUGUUGGAGCUCUGAAAAACUUAUCCAUGGUCUAGAUUCAUUCAGAGACCAGACCAUUCCAGGCCUUCCCAUCUUUACAGUUUCUGAUAAACCCUAAAAAUCUUGAUUCGAGGUUUUUCUUUUCUUGUUUUCUUAGAUCUAUAGCAUAUAUGUGCUCUAUUUUGUGUUUUAACGAUUUCCCCUAAUUUCCUUCUUAAAAUUAGUCUGUUUAAAUUAGAGUUUUCAAAAAUCCUAAAAACGAUUCUUCUUCUUCUUUCUUUGUGAAAAUCUGUGUGUUCGUGCCACGCUUUAGGGGUUUUCAUUUGUUUCCUGUGAUUUGCUCUUAAUAUGCUUGCUCCUCUGCCUUUCUUCUAUCACUACUUCUACUGAUUUUUCUAUAAGUAAUUCUUGCCUGCCAUUUUUACUAUUUCCCCUACUGAAAGUGUUUACUUUUACUGUAUUUAUUUGGUUUAUGAACUUGCUUCUUUACUGCUUCCUAAAUUUCUAUGGCAUCUCCUCUGUGAAUUGUUUUGAUUUGAGUUUUUCUAAAGAACUUGUUCUUCACGAACUUUGUCACUCUAUUGUUUCUAAUUGCAACGUAUGAUUUCCCUGGGCUUAUUGUGAGAAUUUUCUUUCUCUUUUGUGUGUCCUACUCGGACUAAAACCAGG
Molecule: long non-coding RNA, 876 nt
Filed under: Nicotiana benthamiana
Lineage: Eukaryota; Viridiplantae; Streptophyta; Magnoliopsida; Solanales; Solanaceae
Description: long non-coding RNA (NBEN_LNC039163)
Source: RNAcentral